CCGGGUAGCGGCGCCGCUAACAGACCGCCGAACGGACCGGGGUUUCCCCUGUACGCGGACAGAGUCUCCCCUGUACGUUCUAGGCGUCACAAUCCAAACAAUACAACGAGUGUUCCAACUAGGAACGGAUAACAAUCCAGAUUGCAAAGGAAGUAUCAAAUACAUAAAACUAACAGCUAUUACAAGCAUUCAUUCACAUUCACUUAGUACACCUCAGUUCAGUUUACAUUUUUACUUCCAAUUACAAUCACAUUAUUACGUCAUUUAAUUUACAAGUUUGAUACGUCUUGG
This 291-nucleotide long non-coding RNA is filed under the name Ananas comosus (pineapple). Its description in RNAcentral is "long non-coding RNA (ACOM_LNC024343)". Lineage: Eukaryota; Viridiplantae; Streptophyta; Magnoliopsida; Poales; Bromeliaceae. The record is from RNAcentral.